CUAAGAAACAACCCGCUCUGCACAGUGCUCUUACAGCCUACCGGGAACAUCUCUUACAAAGGCCUGUGAAACGCAGUUUCUUGGCAGGCCUGAUCUGGCUGAAGUAGAACUUCUGCUAUGGGUCUGCUAUAUUGCCCUACAGCUGCAAGACACGACGUGCUGCCUUGUUUCCAAAGGGGCAUUUAGGCCCCAAACCAUCUUGCUUCCAGCUCUUUUGGCAGCUAAGAAACAACUCGCUCUGCACCGUGCUCUUAUAGCCUACCAGGAACAUCUCUUACAAAGGCCUGUGAAAUGCAGUUUGUUGGCAGGCCUGAUCUGGCUGAAGUAGAACUUCUGCUCUGGGUGUGCUACAUUGCCCUAGAGCUGCCAUGCACUAAGUGCUGUCUUGUUUUCAAAGGGAGAUUUAAGCCCCAAAGCAUAUUGCUUCCAGGUGUUUGGGAAAAUAAGAAACAACUCGCUCUGCACAGUGCUCUUACAGCCCAUCGGGAACAUCUCUAACUAAGGCCUGUGAAACUCAGUUUCUUUGCAGGCCUGAUCUGGCUGAAGUAGAACUUCUGCUCAGCGUGUGAUACAUUGCCCUAGAGCUGGAAGGCACAAAGUUCUGCCUUGUUUGCAAAGGGGGAUUUAGGCACCAAAGCAUCUUGCUUCCAGCUCUUUGGGAAGCUAAGAAACAACUCGCUCUCCACAGUGCUCUUACAGCCUACCGGGAAUAUCUCUCACAAAGGCCUGUGAAACGCAGUUUCUUUCCAGCCCUGAUCUUGCUGAAGUAGACCUUCUGCUCUGCCGUGUCCUACAUUGUCCUAGACAUGCCAGGCAGAAUAUCCUGCCUUGUUUCCUCAAGGGAAGACAGGCCACAAAGCGUCUUGCAUCCUCUCCUUGGGAAGUUAAGAAACAACUCGCUCUCCACAGUGCUCUUAAAUCCCACCCCGAACAUGGCUUACAAAGACCUGUGAAAGGCAGUUUCUUCGCAGCCCUGAUCUCGCUGAAGUAGAACUUCUGCUGUGCCGUGUAAUACACUGGCCUAGAGGUGUAAGUCACAGAGACCUGAAUGGCUUCCUUAAGAGCAGACAGGCCACACACCAUCUUCCUUCCAGCUCUUUGGCAAGGUGAGAAAGAGCUUGCUUUCCACAGGGCUGUUACAGCCUACUGGGAACCUCUGAUACAAAGACCUGAUAUGCAGUUUGUUUCCAGCCCAGAUGUCACAGCCUUGGAACUUCUGAUCUAAACCAUGUCCUACAUUGCUCUAUAGGUGGAAGUGAGAAAGCACUGAGUCAUUGCCUCAAAAGUAGACAAGCCACAAACGGUCUUGCUUCCAGGUCUCGGAAGCUAAGAAACAAGUGCUUCUCCAUAGUGCUCUUACAGCCUACCAGGAACAUCUCUCACAAAGGCCUGUGAAAUGCAGUUUCUUCCCAGCCCUGAUCUCGCUCAAGUAGAACUUCUGCUCUGCUGUGCAAUACAUUGCCCUAGAGGUGGAAGUCCCAAACCCUCUCUGGCAUCCUCAAG
RNAcentral lists this long non-coding RNA (1503 nucleotides) under Equus caballus (horse). RNAcentral describes it as "lncRNA (ENSECAG00000046361.1)". The record is from RNAcentral. Lineage: Eukaryota; Metazoa; Chordata; Mammalia; Perissodactyla; Equidae.